CUGGUUUGGGUGUCUGUAGCCGCGGCUACAGUGCAUCGUGUGGCGGUGGCUUUUCCCUUGGCUGUGGUGGCUGGAUGACUGUUCAAUUGCAGCUAUUAAUUCCGGCACCUCGCUGUAUUGUAUCGACCAACGAGUGAUUAGAACGUGUCUGAGUGUGCGCCCAUUGGAUCCUCCCUUUCCCCUUUCUUUCUACCCUUUUCUCUUUUACGUCGGAUCUUCCUCUGGUAUCAUUUGCCAACUAGCUCCCGUGUUCAUCGCUAUUGCCGUGGUUACCGGAGACCGUCUGCAACUGCUGCUAAUGCUAAUGCCGGCGUAUUGGCUGCCGCUUGGACACCACCAAUGCAGCUGCUAGCGGGGACUGCCUGCAAUAAUUCUUAGCGUGCUGCUUUGUGCUCCCCUUCAUUCUUUCAUUUGUUUAUUUGUGUUGGAUAAUUGAUUUGUCAACAUUAGCAGUCUUCUGUUUUUUGUUGUGUCUUUAUUUAUGCAAAGUAUUGAUUUGUUUUUCGUUAUUAAGAGUAUUCUUUUGUGAGUUUAGUCUUAUUUCUAGUAACAGUUAAUGUUGGGUCUAGUGUAGGUCAGAUGGUGUAAAUACAGCUGUAGCUAUCUUUCAAUUAGAUCAUGUAAAGUAGGUGUUAACCUGAUUGACCCACUUAUUUGUGUUUUGUUGGUUAUUGAUUUUUAUUUUUAUUUAUUUCAGGAACUGAGGUUUCCCCCGGUGGAUGACGGGUCACUUUCCACUGGUGGUGGUGUUUCUCUAUCGUGUGCUGUGGACACUGAGUGCGUGAUAGCGUGAUUUUUGAGUGCACUGUGGUGUGUGCGUGUGCUGGGGUAAAGUCUGUCCACUCGUACCCAGUCAGUGGGAACCUCCAAUCCUGGUUUGGUUUUGUUUAUUUAUUGUUUCUUGUGUUUAAUAAUGAAGUGGGAGUUUUUGAUGUAUUUUUAAAGAACCGUACCAUUUGAUAGUUUUAUUCCAAAUAAAUAUUUUUGUACUUUUUCAUUA
Non-coding RNA from Danio rerio (zebrafish), 1000 nucleotides. The record is from Ensembl. Lineage: Eukaryota; Metazoa; Chordata; Actinopteri; Cypriniformes; Danionidae.